This 994-nucleotide unclassified non-coding RNA is filed under the name Hevea brasiliensis (rubber tree). The record is from RNAcentral. Lineage: Eukaryota; Viridiplantae; Streptophyta; Magnoliopsida; Malpighiales; Euphorbiaceae.
GAACAAAUAAAGCUAUAAUUUAAACACAGUAGCAACAAGAUUGUAACCAUAGUACACUAACAUGACCACAGAAGAUAAACCCACAUACACAACCACAGACGGUCUGUCCAUACAAUAAAUACACAGAGCCUGUCUUUCAUUUUCGAGCACUUCAUUAACCUUGUAUCAAUUGGUGGUCAUCGGCUCAGCCAUACAACACCGAAAGCGUGCUUUGCGGACUGUGCUCAUGAUCUCUAUCUCAGCUUUCUCCAGCAUCCUGACAACCUCAGUGAAAGGGGGGCGCACAUCGGGGUUUGCAUCCCAGCAGCGAGUCAUUAUUUCGCCUAGCACAGGGAGGCAGCCCUGUGGAACGAUCGGGCGAAAUCCCCUAUUGACGACAGCAAAUGCCGCUUGGACAGCCGUCAUGUUCUGGAAGGGGAGCAGACCAGUUAUGAGCUCCCACAGGACGAUGCCGAAGCUGUAGACAUCGACUUUCUGAUUGUAGGGUCGAUGUUGAAUCAUCUCUGGAGCCAUCCAGCGAUACGUCCCAGUCUCUGGCGUCAUGCCCUCUGUCUGCACUUCAAUCCGUGCCACCCCAAAGUCUGCAAUCUUAAUCGAUUUGUCUGUGGAAAUGAGAAGGUUAUCCGACUUAAGGUCUCGAUGAAUAAACCCCAAGCCAUGCACAUAAGCCAUCCCCCGCGCAACAUCCAACGCCUGCUUAACCGCCAACUUCAGCGGCACAGACCGGUUCUGCCUCCUCCUCAAGAACUCCCGCACCGACCCGCCCUUCGCAUACUCCGUCAGAAUGCACCACACCACUGGCUUCCUACACGCCCCUACAAACCUCACAAUGUUAGGGUGCCGCAGGUUCGCCAACAUCAUCACCUCCUGCACGAACUGCUGCUCCAUCAGCUGCGCCCGUUCCGGAUCGUUCUCCGGCCUCUCCAGCAGCUUGAUGGCGACAUCCUCCCCCUUGUAGGAUCCCCGAUAUAGCUUCCCGAAAGCUCCCUGCGCG